This 415-nucleotide ribosomal RNA is filed under the name uncultured microorganism. RNAcentral describes it as "bacterial SSU rRNA". It matches the Rfam family "Archaeal small subunit ribosomal RNA", at positions 330 to 745 of the family's 1478-position model. The record is from RNAcentral.
GCGCACCAGGCGCGAAAACUUCACACUGUGCGAAAGCACGAUGAGGGAAUCCCAAGUGCUUGCACGUAAGUGUAAGCUGUUUCUCUGUUUAAAACGCAGAGAGAGUAAGGGCUGGGUAAGACGGGUGCCAGCCGCCGCGGUAAUACCUGCAGCUCAAGUGGUGACCAUUAUUAUUGGGCCUAAAACGUCCGUAGCCGGUUUAAUAAAUGCCUGGGUAAAUCGUGUAGCUUAACUAUACGAAUUCCGGGUAGACUGUUAAACUCGAGACCGGGAGAAGUUAGAGGUACUCCUGGGGUAGAGGUGAAAUUCUGUAAUCCCAGGGGGACCACCAGUGGCGAAGGCGUCUAACUAGAACGGGUCUGACGGUGAGGGACGAAGCCCUGGGGCGCAAACGGGGAUUAGAUACCCGGGUAGU